Molecule: long non-coding RNA, 942 nt
Organism: Salvia miltiorrhiza (redroot sage)
Lineage: Eukaryota; Viridiplantae; Streptophyta; Magnoliopsida; Lamiales; Lamiaceae
Exons: 2
Source: RefSeq, a predicted model, not a curated record
AAAACAGAGAGAGACGAGAAUGAAGGGGGAGGGGAGCGGCUGUAGGAGAAGAAGAAAAGGGAGAGGAAUUUGGUUUGGGCUUAGGGCUUGCAGUUGGGCCGAUUUAUUGGGCCGAAAUUAUUUUAUUUAGUGGGCCGAGUUUUGUUUAUUAAAUCAGUUGGGCUCUUGGUUUUAAUAAUUGUGCUGGGCCUUAAUUCAAUUAUUUAAUAGAUGGCCCUAUUAUUGUUUAAUUAAAUUGAGCUUUCUUAUUUUUAAUUAAUUGAACUAUUAUUAGUUUGAUUAAUUUAUUUAAAGGAUAAUUUUCAUAAUAAUAUUAAAUUAUUAUUAUGUGCAUAUUUUAAGUAAAUUACUUAUUAUAUGCUAAGCAUGACAUGAUAUUGCAUUAUAUUUUGCAAUAAAAGUAUUUAUGAUUUAAUUGGUUUUAUUUAUAAUUCCAAUUAUUUAAGAAAAUCGAGUAAGGAUAUUGUUGGUGUCCUUAACUCAAGAAUUUUAGUUUUCAAUUAUUAUUCAUUAAAUUUUUGAAAACCCGGCGUGAUAAAUCAUAGUAGUUAAGUGCACCCACUAAGACUUUAAGUUAGCUUUACGAGACCUAUUAAGAAUAGAAUUUCUUGUAGGCUUUGUGACCAGGGGGAUUAGCGCUGCUUUCCCAAGACAGGUUUAUAUGUGAUUAUGAUCUUCAGGCUUUGCCUAACCAGGUUGGCUGGCUGGUGCUGACGGGACGGAGCUGAGGCUAGAGUUAAAAUUCAUAUGUUAGACUUCCGCUGUAGCAAUUACUCUUAUACAUCUUUUGUUUUCUCAACUUAAGAUGACUUCAUGUCGAGCUUAAAUUUGAAAUUCUAGUUUUAUGCUAAUGAAUGUUGGUUGUCAGAAACAUGAAACAAAACUUGUGAUCCAAAGGGGCAUAGCCCGACUUUCUAUCCUAUUUUGGGUUUUAACGAGGUA